AGAUCAUGUUAAGGAGAACUCCUUAGCAGCCCUUUGUAUCUCUCCUAUGCUUCAUAUAAUGAUUCUCCAACUUCUUGUUGAAAAUUAGCAAUCUUUUUCUUCAUCAU
Molecule: small nucleolar RNA, 107 nt
Organism: Lactuca sativa (garden lettuce)
Lineage: Eukaryota; Viridiplantae; Streptophyta; Magnoliopsida; Asterales; Asteraceae
Source: RefSeq, a predicted model, not a curated record